This 236-nucleotide long non-coding RNA is filed under the name Salvia miltiorrhiza (redroot sage). RNAcentral's name for it is "long non-coding RNA (SMIL_LNC010069)". The record is from RNAcentral. Lineage: Eukaryota; Viridiplantae; Streptophyta; Magnoliopsida; Lamiales; Lamiaceae.
GCUCUUCGUUGGUCAUUCAUUGUUCCUCGAUUCUUUCUUUAGCUAACUUGCUCUUUCUUGCAACUUCUUCUUCAGCUGUAGGCUUAAUGUUGUAGCUUGCUCCUAAUACCAUAGAGCCAAGAGGGCUUCAUCUUCCGCAACAGAAAUGGAAGCGCCGACCAUGAGGGCGUCAGUAAUAUGGUCUGGCUUAGCUGUUGAGCAGUGAGCUGACUCUUCUUUCUCCGACAACUUUUUUC